Molecule: long non-coding RNA, 2253 nt
Organism: Panicum virgatum (switchgrass)
Lineage: Eukaryota; Viridiplantae; Streptophyta; Magnoliopsida; Poales; Poaceae
Exons: 13
Source: RefSeq, a predicted model, not a curated record
CCGCAAAAAGCCCAGUUUAAUGGAACGCAGCCCGCCAGCUCCCACCUCCCAGUGUACCACUGGGCCUGUCGACGGCGUCCGGCUCUUCGCCGGCGAAGAACGCUCCCGGCCCGGCGGCGCCGGCACCCCCGCUAUCCACGUUGGUCUGAGUUAUCGUGUCAGCGUAUCUCCAUUCUCCUCCCCUCGCCGCAAUGUCACCGGUGGGAAGGUAUCUCAGGCGUCGCAUCUGAUUCCGGGUUUGGAGUUGCAGAGCUUCGACGCUGGUGAUGAGUGAUUUGGGGAUUAAAGUUGCGCCUGCAGGGUGAUGAAGUAUGCCUGUCUUGACUAGCUCAACUGCUGCCAAGGAUCAGAUAACUGCGAUUGUUGUUUGGACACUGAGAAAGUAGGAUAGCGGUUUUGUGUAAUAGCUAGCUUCAUAAACAACAUUGGCGCAAAUGUUGUUCAUGUGCAGACGGAGGAAGGACCACAAGAAAGAAGGAAGGUGAAGCUACAUGCUGGGGACUGAUGUAUUUGACACGCCGUUGAUGGCUUAAGAUACAGUAAGAUGGCGAUUCCUGCUCCUGGUAGAUGGUAAAUCUGUAUGUCAUUUGAAUCGGUUCUGACUUCUGACAAAGGUUGAUACAGAGGUAGGACUACAAGAAAGAAGUAAGGUGAAAAUACAGCUGGAGGCUGAUGUGUUUGACAUGCCCUUGAAGGAGAUCCUGGAGCACAACAUCACUGUUCUCGUUCCUCAUUAGAAGCUCAGCAACCUCUGCAGAAUCCGGAACGACUCUGCAGUGCAGUACCCCAUGUGGAUGUGCAUGUCCAUCCUGCCAGGCCGCAGUAAUGCUGGGUCAAGCCGCUCCCUGUAAUUAGUGGUGAAAACGAUGAUCCUCUCCUCCCCGCUUGUCGACCAGAGACCGUCAACGAAGUUGAGCAGCCCAGAUAGCGUCACCUGUUCGACAAAAUUACCAGCAGCAUUGGUAAUGAACUGGACCUGGCACGCUUCUCACCGUCUUCCCGCUGCUGCAGCUCAAUGCUACAGUCAAUGUCUUCAACCACAAGGAUGGAUCGGUUGCUCAUCCCGACAAGAAGCCUCCGGAGGUCCGAGUUGCAUUUGACCUCGGUCAGCUCAAGAUCAUAUAUGUCAAACUUGAGGUAAUUCGCCAUUGCGGCGAUCAGGCUUGACUUGCCGGUCCCAGGUGGCCCGUAGAGCAGACCGUUUCAGCUUCUUGUCCAUGGCGAGCGUGUCGAAGGUAGACGGGUGGCGGAGGUCGACGGCUGUCCAGGCGUCGUACUCGAUCAUGUGCAUCUUGAGGCUCCGGUGCUGGUCCUUCAUGGCCUUGGCCGUGGCGACGAUGUGCGGGAGAAAUUGGCUAGUGGUUUCCUAUUUUAGUCAUCGUCUCCGUCAUCUUGCUCCUCAUCCUGCUGGUUAUUUGCACUGAUGUGUUCGGUAUUUAUCACACUGCUGGCAUCAUUCGAUUUUGACUUCAGGACGUCAACAAGAUCAUGGAGCGCGACAUCAGCGUCAUCAUUCCUCAUCAGAACCUCAGCAACCUCUGCAGCGGUCACCAUCACCUCAUCGAUCAGCUUCUCGAUCUCCGGAUACAUGGCAUGGUAGUCGAUCAAGUGGUAGUUUUUGGCAAGGAUCCGGAACGACUCAGGGGUGCAGUAGCCCAUGUAGAUGUGCAUGUCCAUCCUGCCAGGCCGCAGCAGCGCCGGGUCAAGCCGCUCCUUGUAAUUGGUCGUGAACACGAUGAUCCUCUCCUCCCCGCCCGCAGACCACAGCCCAUCAACAAAGUUGAGCAGUCCAGAAAGUGUCACCUGUGUGGAACAUUCAGAUUCUCGUCAGCAUAUCAGAAUAUAGCCAAGGAAGAAGUUAUGGAACGAAGAAGAAAAGGUGUUAACUUAUCAACACAUGAUGCGCUGAUCUGACUCCAAAUUUGAUGGUGCAGUCGAUAUCCUCAACCACGAGAAUUGAUCGGCUGCUAAUGCCGACAAGGAGCCUCAUGAGGUACGAGUUGCUCUCGACCGCAGUCAGCUCGAGAUCAUAGAUGUCGAACCUGAGAUGGUUGGCCAUAGCCGCGAUCAGGCUGGACUUGCCGGUCCCAGGUGGGCCGUAGAGCAGCUUGAGGUCCAUGGCAAGCGUGUCGAAGGUCGAUGGGUGGUGGAGGUCCAUCGGAGACCAGACGUCCAAGACCUCGUUCAUGUGUAUCUGGAGGGCUCUCUCCUGCUGCAUCAGGGCCUUGGCCGUGGCCACGAUGAACGGGAGGU